ACAGAGGGUGCAAGCGUUGUUCGGAAUUAUUGGGCGUAAAGGGCGCGUAGGCGGUGCGGUAAGUCUGUAGUGAAAUCUCCGGGCUCAACUCGGAAAUUGCUAUAGAAACUGCCGUGCUCGAGUGUGGGAGAGGUGAGUGGAAUUCCCGGUGUAGCGGUGAAAUGCGUAGAGAUCGGGAAGAACAUCAGUGGCGAAGGCGGUCUGCUGGGCCGUUGCUGACGCUGAGGCGCGACAGCGUGGGGAGCAAACAGGA
This 253-nucleotide ribosomal RNA is filed under the name uncultured prokaryote. RNAcentral's name for it is "partial 16S ribosomal RNA". It matches the Rfam family "Bacterial small subunit ribosomal RNA", at positions 525 to 777 of the family's 1533-position model. The record is from RNAcentral.